CGGCGCACGGGUGCGUAACGCGUAUGCAAUCUACCUUUUACAGAGGGAUAGCCCAGAGAAAUUUGGAUUAAUACCUCAUAGUAUGCAGAGUUGGCAUCAGCACUGCAUUAAAGUCACAACGGUAAAAGAUGAGCAUGCGUCCCAUUAGCUAGUUGGUAAGGUAACGGCUUACCAAGGCUACGAUGGGUAGGGGUCCUGAGAGGGAGAUCCCCCACACUGGUACUGAGACACGGACCAGACUCCUACGGGAGGCAGCAGUGAGGAAUAUUGGACAAUGGGCGCAAGCCUGAUCCAGCCAUGCCGCGUGCAGGAUGACGGUCCUAUGGAUUGUAAACUGCUUUUAUACGAGAAGAAACACUGCUUCGUGAAGCAGCUUGACGGUAUCGUAAGAAUAAGGAUCGGCUAACUCCGUGCCAGCAGCCGCGGUAAUACGGAGGAUCCAAGCGUUAUCCGGAAUCAUUGGGUUUAAAGGGUCCGUAGGCGGUUUAAUAAGUCAGUGGUGAAAGCCCAUCGCUCAACGGUGGAACGGCCAUUGAUACUGUUAGACUUGAAUUAUUAGGAAGUAACUAGAAUAUGUAGUGUAGCGGUGAAAUGCUUAGAGAUUACAUGGAAUACCAAUUGCGAAGGCAGGUUACUACUAAUGGAUUGACGCUGAUGGACGAAAGCGUGNGUAGCGAACAGGAUUAGAUACCCUGGUAGUCCACGCCGUAAACGAUGGAUACUAGCUGUUGGAAGCAAUUUCAGUGGCUAAGCGAAAGUGAUAAGUAUCCCACCUGGGGAGUACGUUCGCAAGAAAUGAAACUCAAGGAAUUGACGGGGGCCCGCACAAGCGGUGGAGCAUGUGGUUUUAUUCGAUG
RNAcentral lists this ribosomal RNA (857 nucleotides) under uncultured bacterium. RNAcentral's name for it is "bacterial SSU rRNA". It matches the Rfam family "Bacterial small subunit ribosomal RNA", at positions 96 to 956 of the family's 1533-position model. The record is from RNAcentral.